This 84-nucleotide transfer RNA is filed under the name Acetobacteraceae bacterium. Its description in RNAcentral is "tRNA-Leu". It matches the Rfam family "tRNA". From Rfam's summary of the family: Transfer RNA (tRNA) molecules are approximately 80 nucleotides in length. Their secondary structure includes four short double-helical elements and three loops (D, anti-codon, and T loops). Further hydrogen bonds mediate the characteristic L-shaped molecular structure. tRNAs have two regions of fundamental functional importance: the anti-codon, which is responsible for specific mRNA codon recognition, and the 3' end, to which the tRNAs corresponding amino acid is attached (by aminoacyl-tRNA synthetases). tRNAs cope with the degeneracy of the genetic code in two manners: having more than one tRNA (with a specific anti-codon) for a particular amino acid; and 'wobble' base-pairing, i.e. permitting non-standard base-pairing at the 3rd anti-codon position. The record is from RNAcentral. Lineage: Bacteria; Pseudomonadati; Pseudomonadota; Alphaproteobacteria; Acetobacterales; Acetobacteraceae.
GGGGGCGUGGCGGAAUUGGUUGACGCAGGGCACUCAAAAUGCCCCGACCGCAAGGUCUUGCCGGUUCGAGUCCGGCCGCCCCUA